Molecule: ribosomal RNA, 765 nt
Filed under: uncultured Russula
Lineage: Eukaryota; Fungi; Basidiomycota; Agaricomycetes; Russulales; Russulaceae
Description: partial 28S ribosomal RNA
Rfam family: Eukaryotic large subunit ribosomal RNA
Source: RNAcentral
GAAUCCCGUCUUUGACAUGGACUCCCAGUGCAUUGUGAUGCGCUCUCAAAGAGUCGAGUUGUUUGGGAAUGCAGCUCAAAAUGGGUGGUGAACUCCAUCUAAAGCUAAAUAUUGGCGAGAGACCGAUAGCGAACAAGUACCGUGAGGGAAAGAUGAAAAGCACUUUGGAAAGAGAGUGAAACAGUACGUGAAAUUGUUGAAAGGGAAACGCUUGAAGUCAGUCGCGUCGGCCGAGACUCAGCCUUGCCUCGGCUUGGUGUACUUCUUGACCGACGGGUCAGCAUCAAUUUUGCCCCUUGGAUAAUGGCGAGGGAAAUGUGACACCUUUAUAGGUGUGUUAUAGUCUCUCGUCGCAUGCAAGGGUCGGGAUUGAGGAACUCAGCACGCGCCUUCGGGCGUCGGGGCCUUGCCCACGAUACGUGCUUAGGAUGUUGGCGUAAUGGCUUUAAACGACCCGUCUUGAAACACGGACCAAGGAGUCUAACAUGCCUGCGAGUGUUUGGGUGGAAAACCCGAGCGCGUAAUGAAAGUGAAAGUUGAGAUCCCUGUCGUAGGGAGCAUUGACGCCCGGAUCUGACCUUUUGUGACGAUUCUGCGGUAGAGCAUGUAUGUUGGGACCCGAAAGAUGGUGAACUAUGCCUGAAUAGGGUGAAGCCAGAGGAAACUCUGGUGGAGGCUCGUAGCGAUUCUGACGUGCAAAUCGAUCGUCAAAUUUGGGUAUAAGGGCGAAAGACUAAUCGAACCAUCUAGUAGCUGGUUCCUGCC